Molecule: ribosomal RNA, 849 nt
Filed under: Chalaropsis thielavioides
Lineage: Eukaryota; Fungi; Ascomycota; Sordariomycetes; Microascales; Ceratocystidaceae
Description: partial large subunit ribosomal RNA
Rfam family: Eukaryotic large subunit ribosomal RNA
Source: RNAcentral
AACCAACAGGGAUUGCCCUAGUAACGGCGAGUGAAGCGGCAACAGCUCAAAUUUGAAAUCUGGCUACCUUUCGUAGUCCGAGUUGUAAUUUGUAGAGGAUGCUUUUGGUGAGGUGCCUUCCGAGUUCCCUGGAACGGGACGCCAUAGAGGGUGAGAGCCCCGUACGGUUGGAUACCAAGCCUCUGUAUAGCUCCUUCAACGAGUCGAGUAGUUUGGGAAUGCUGCUCUAAAUGGGAGGUAUAUCUCUUCUAAAGCUAAAUAUAGGCUAGAGACCGAUAGCGCACAAGUAGAGUGAUCGAAAGAUGAAAAGCACUUUGAAAAGAGAGUUAAACAGCACGUGAAAUUGUUGAAAGGGAAGCGCCUAUGACCAGACUUGUUUCUGGCAGUUUCGUUAGCCCUCGGGCUGAUUUACUCUGUCCAGUACAGGCCAGCAUCAGUUUGCUGUCGGGGAGAAAGGCUCUGGGAACGUAGCUCCCCCCUUCUGGGGGGAGUGUUAUAGCCCUCUGCAUAAUACCCUUCGGCAGACUGAGGACCGCGCUUCGGCAAGGAUGCUGGCGUAAUGGUCAUCAGCGACCCGUCUUGAAACACGGACCAAGGAGUCAACCUUAUGUGCGAGUGUUUGGGUGUAAAACCCCAGCGCGUAAUGAAAGUGAACGUAGGUGAGAGCUUCGGCGCAUCAUCGACCGAUUCUGAUGUUUUCGGAUGGAUUUGAGUAAGAGCACACAGGGUUGGACCCGAAAGAAGGUGAACUAUGCUUGUAUAGGGUGAAGCCAGAGGAAACUCUGGUGGAGGCUCGCAGCGGUUCUGACGUGCAAAUCGAUCGUCAAAUAUGAGCAUGGGGGCGAAAGA